UGAAUCCUCCCGCAUCGCAUCGAGUUCGCGAGAAGUCUCCCGCACGGAGGCGACGCGAGAUGGGGUGGCGGCGCUGCAGCGGCUGCCGCGCCAACGGGCCUCGGACGCGACUGCGACUCGACGCUCUUCCCUGCGGCACCCAUCGCCUCCGGCCUCCUCCUCUCCGAGAUGAUCAGAGGGAAUUAACAAGCCAUUUGGAGUAUCCGCACUGCAUUGCCAAAAACUGAAGCCUUAAUUCACAUGUCUCGAGCUGGCUGGUCUCGACCUUCAAUUCCCAUAUCUCACAUGUUCUCUGCAGAAAAAUUCAGAGAUCUCAUCUCCAUCAGAAUAUUACUGCUCGUAUAUUGCUGCUCAAGUCGAGUUCCUCAAGAUCCAAAGGGUGAGCGUGCAGUCGGCUCCUCACCUCCACCGUGGCCGAUCCAAAGUGUUCCAGUGUGUACGCAUGCUCUUGUAGUGGAGGGAGGCAACUCAGGAUUGGCGUUUAGUGUGUGAGUUCUGCUGUAUUUCCUUAUGACAUCACGCAUCUUGCAGACACGGAUAAUUUCUUGUUUUCCUGCCUGCAACAUUCGGUUCUUGAGUAGCUAAUUAUGUUAUUCCCCUACCUGAUUCUGACACCAUGGUAGAGAGGAUUAGUAUUGCCAGCAAGAUUUUCUUUUCACAUAGCUGCUGGAUGCAUCAGAACUCCAUGCAGGUUGACAACCAACAGAUCAAAAACAUAUUUGUCGUCAUCCUGACAAUAUUUUGCUUCCAGUCAGUAAAACUUGGUGACCUAAGUUUAAGCUAUACA
Long non-coding RNA from Setaria italica (foxtail millet), 787 nucleotides. RefSeq lists it as uncharacterized. The transcript has 2 exons. NCBI's taxonomy places the organism in Eukaryota, Viridiplantae, Streptophyta, Magnoliopsida, Poales, Poaceae. The record is from RefSeq and is a predicted model, not a curated record.